GAUGAACGCUGGCGGCGUGCCUAAUACAUGCGAGUCGAGCGAACUGACGAGGAGCUUGCUCCUCUGACGUUAGCGGCGGACGGGUGAGUAACACGUGGAUAACCUACCUAUAAGACUGGGAUAACUUCGGGAAACCGGAGCUAAUACCGGAUAAUAUAUUGAACCGCAUGGUUCAAUAGUGAAAGACGGUUUUGCUGUCACUUAUAGAUGGAUCCGCGCCGCAUUAGCUAGUUGGUAAGGUAACGGCUUACCAAGGCAACGAUGCGUAGCCGACCUGAGAGGGUGAUCGGCCACACUGGAACUGAGACACGGUCCAGACUCCUACGGGAGGCAGCAGUAGGGAAUCUUCCGCAAUGGGCGAAAGCUUGACGGAGCAACGCCGCGUGAGUGAUGAAGGUCUUCGGAUCGUAAAACUCUGUUAUUAGGGAAGAACAAAUGUGUAAGUAACUAUGCACGUCUUGACGGUACCUAAUCAGAAAGCCACGGCUAACUACGU
RNAcentral lists this ribosomal RNA (496 nucleotides) under uncultured bacterium. Its description in RNAcentral is "partial 16S ribosomal RNA". It matches the Rfam family "Bacterial small subunit ribosomal RNA", at positions 28 to 506 of the family's 1533-position model. The record is from RNAcentral.